Molecule: ribosomal RNA, 756 nt
Filed under: uncultured bacterium
Lineage: Bacteria
Description: bacterial SSU rRNA
Rfam family: Bacterial small subunit ribosomal RNA
Source: RNAcentral
AGAGUUUGAUCAUGGCUCAGAAUCAACGCUGGCGGCGUGCCUAACACAUGCAAGUCGAACGAGAAAGUGGAGCAAUCCAUGAGUAAAGUGGCGCACGGGUGAGUAACACGUGACUAACCUACCCUUGAGUGGGGGAUAACCUAGGGAAACCUGGGCUAAUACCGCAUAAUACCUACGGGUCAAAGGAGCAAUUCGCUUAAGGAGGGGGUCGCGGCCGAUUAGUUAGUUGGCGGGGUAAUGGCCCACCAAGACAGUGAUCGGUAUCCGGCCUGAGAGGGCGCACGGACACACUGGAACUGAAACACGGUCCAGACUCCUACGGGAGGCAGCAGUGGGGAAUUUUGCGCAAUGGGGGAAACCCUGACGCAGCAACGCCGCGUGGAGGAUGAAGUCUCUUGGGACGUAAACUCCUUUCGAUCGGGACGAUAAUGACGGUACCGAGAGAAGAAGCCCCGGCUAACUUCGUGCCAGCAGCCGCGGUAAUACGAGGGGGGCGAGCGUUGUUCGGAAUUAUUGGGCGUAAAGGGUGCGUAGGCGGUUCGGUAAGUCUUGUGUGAAAUCUUCGGGCUCAACUCGAAAUCUGCACUAGAAACUGCCGGGCUUGAGUGUGGGAGAGGUGAGUGGAAUUUCCGGUGUAGCGGUGAAAUGCGUAGAUAUCGGAAGGAACACCUGUGGCGAAAGCGGCUCACUGGACCACAACUGACGCUGAGGCACGAAAGCUAGGGGAGCAAACAGGAUUAGAUACCCUAGUAGUCC